Molecule: ribosomal RNA, 518 nt
Filed under: uncultured bacterium
Lineage: Bacteria
Description: bacterial SSU rRNA
Rfam family: Bacterial small subunit ribosomal RNA
Source: RNAcentral
AUUCGAAGCAACGCGAAGAACCUUACCAGGUCUUGACAUCCUCUGACAAUCCUAGAGAUAGGACGUUCCCCUUCGGGGGACAGAGUGACAGGUGGUGCAUGGUUGUCGUCAGCUCGUGUCGUGAGAUGUUGGGUUAAGUCCCGCAACGAGCGCAACCCUUGUCCUUAGUUGCCAGCAUUAGGUUGGGCACUCUAAGGAGACUGCCGGUGACAAACCGGAGGAAGGUGGGGAUGACGUCAAAUCAUCAUGCCCCUUAUGACCUGGGCUACACACGUGCUACAAUGGAUGGUACAAAGGGCUGCGAGACCGCGAGGUUUAGCCAAUCCCAUAAAACCAUUCUCAGUUCGGAUUGUAGGCUGCAACUCGCCUACAUGAAGCCGGAAUCGCUAGUAAUCGUGGAUCAGCAUGCCACGGUGAAUACGUUCCCGGGUCUUGUACACACCGCCCGUCACACCACGAGAGUUUGUAACACCCGAAGUCGGUGGGGUAACCGCAAGGGGCCAGCCGCCUAAGGUGGG